GCUUCCCAGCUGGCUGAGCACUGGUUUAUAGACUUCUGUGUACAAAUUUAGCCAGCAGCAAACCUCACAUCUUUAAUAUAAAAGGUGUUUUGUUGUGUUUUUCAGGUGCUGAGUGGAAAGCCCACACUCCAGAAGCUCAUUAAAAGGGCCAAGUUACAGUACAGGUUUAUUUCUGUCACAGCGUUUCUGAAAACAGUGACAAGGAUUAAUAUGUUUCUUUAGUACUGGAAAAAGCCUGACACAAUCCCUUGUGAAUUUGAUCAUCUGUUUCAUUGCCUGUAGAAGAUUCAGCUUCCUAUUAUAUCUGAAAGUUACAGCUGUAAACUACUACUGGGAAAUAAUAUCAAUAGGAAUUAAAAGCCAGAAAGUACUGUCUCCAUAUCAUUUUAAAAUGCUAUGAUAAUUUUGUAAAAGGAGCUUAAUAUUAUAAGAAUGGGAAAAAUGUUGGAAAUUCUAAGCGUGACCCUCUUUUGUUGUCUUGACAUUCAAACCAGUGAGUAGGAUACACGCUGUAAGGUACUGAGGAGGAGCUGCCCUGAGUUCAAACAACCUCUGAAAGUUAAAAAUAAGUUAAUGAUUGAUUGUCUAUGAAUAAAGAAUGUUGCUGAUCACAGUGUUUUGUGAAGACACUGAAUAAAGUG
This 641-nucleotide long non-coding RNA is filed under the name Mus caroli (Ryukyu mouse). RNAcentral describes it as "lncRNA (MGP_CAROLIEiJ_G0004865.1)". Lineage: Eukaryota; Metazoa; Chordata; Mammalia; Rodentia; Muridae. The record is from RNAcentral.